RNAcentral lists this ribosomal RNA (517 nucleotides) under uncultured bacterium. RNAcentral's name for it is "bacterial SSU rRNA". It matches the Rfam family "Bacterial small subunit ribosomal RNA", at positions 8 to 518 of the family's 1533-position model. The record is from RNAcentral.
AGAGUUUGAGUCCUGGCUCAGGAUGAACGCUGGCGGUGUGCCUAAUACAUGCAAGUCGAUCGGGCGUAGCAAUACGUCAGAGGCGUACGGGUGAGUAACACGUAGGUAACCUACCUUUAAGACUGGGAUACCCAGACGAAAGUUUGGCUAAUACCGGAUAACAACAUUUGAGACAUCUCUUUUGUUUGAAAGGCGCUGCAAGGCGCCACUUUUAGAUGGACCUGCGUCGCAUUAGCUAGUUGGUGAGAUAAAAGCCCACCAAGGCUGGGAUGCGUAGCCGAUCUGAGAGGAUGACCGGCCACAAUGGGACUGAGACACGGCCCAUACUCCUACGGGAGGCAGCAGUAGGGAGUUUUCGGCAAUGGGGGAAACCCUGACCGAGCAACACCGCGUGAGUGAUGAAAGGUCUUCGGAUCGUAAAGCUCUGUUACGAGGGACGAAUGAUCGCUUUAGGAAAUGAGAGCGGUUUGACGGUACCUCGCCAGAAAGCGACGGCUAACUACGUGCCAGCCGCUGC